ACCAGGUAGAAAGUUGAAACAAGAACAACUUUUAUUUAGAUUGUACAAAAUAUAGAGAUUACAACCACCUUAAAGUAUUGUUACAAAAGAACAUAAUUAAGCUAGUUACAGAAACAAAUUUAGGAUAUAUAAUCCUUUUAUCUGCUACAUAACUAUCUUAUAGAACCUAAUUACCAAAUUUAUUUUCUCAUAACUGAUACAACACUGUAUGCUACAAAACAACAACAACACUUGACUCACUUCCUUUGUUUUUGAACUUUUCUUCUUUCAAUGAAUACAAACAUUGAAUUUUGAAAUAACUUAGGCAAUGUUUUUUUUCACCUUUUACGUUUUCUUGGAAUUAUUCCCAGUAGAAGCUCAGCGAGAAGAGCGUGAACCAUUUCUGAGUUUAGUAUCUCCAGAAUGAACCAUGUUUUCAGCAGUGCUACGAUGCUCUUUUACUCUUCCAUUUGAAGAAGCAGAACCCUUCUUUCCAUCUGAAUCUUUCUUAUCACCCAAAUAAUUGCUGGGGCUAUCAACAUUCUUAGAACGCGAUGGGGAACUCAUUCUUCUUGUUUAUACAAUGUGCUAUAUUUCUUCUGUGUUUGAGAUUUAUGAACAUGAUGGCAUCUUUGGCAUGUAUUUGUAUACGCAGAGAUGCAUGUAGAAUGGAACUACCAAGUAAUUCAUCCACAAUUCCAUUUCAUAGUCACAACAUGGUUUCAAAUGUUGAAUGUUUCAAUUCAGUCUUCAUAAUUUGAAUAACUAUGAAAUUGCAAAUGUUUUUCAUGGUUUGAUCGUGAAACUGCAACGAGUUCUUUUGUUGUUGGUUUUAUAUUAUUAUUCUGAAUCUGUCUGUGAAAUGGUAAAAGGUUUGAGUUUGAGGUGGAAAUGGUUGCAUUAAUGUAUGGAAUGUUCUUGUGAAAUGCAUUGUGUUUUUGGGUGGAGAUUGAGAUCAGAACCGAUUUAGCGUGCUUUGAUUUUCUUCCAGAGCCCAUUUCAAUGCAUGACCACACGAAACAGAGUAUUCGUGGUGUGAAACUUUGAGUGAGUCUUGGUAAUUAAAUUCAUGUGAAAUUUCUGAUUAUUUUCAACGUUUAAUGUGAAAUUUUUAAUCUUUUGCAUCCUUUGAUCAUAUGGGUGUAACGAAUUUCAUGGAAAAUGAAAAGAAAAAAAUAAAGUAGAUUGCUCCGUUAAUUGUACAGAAAACAGUGCAUGAAGAAUAUAUUAUAAUAUUUUGCUCUGUUAUUUCAAACUUUAUUACAUAUAAAUAUAUAAAAACAUUCUCAUUCUUUUCAUGUAAGAAACUGUGAAUUGCGGCUUCAUUUUCCAAACAAUAACUUAAUUCAUUAUUUUGCGUCUAUUCUAUAUUUUUUUUUCUAAUAGAUUUUGGGUCAUACUAUUAUAAAAAAAAAUUGAAUUUAGCAUCAUUAUUUUAAAUAUUUUCAGUUUAAUUUAAUUUUUAAAAAUAAGUUAAUAUAAUUUUUAUUCCGAAAUGAAUGAUAAUAAUGUUAUAAAAAGAAUAAAAGGUAUCAUGCACGAUAAGUUAACAUGCAGUAGGACGAAUUGAAAAAUUGAUUGUAAUAAAAACAAUUAAGCCAAUUUCUUUCCAUGGCGAGUUGGGGAGGAAGCACUUCGGGAGGCGGUGGGGUUUAGGAGCAAUUGAAGGAUGAAUCCUACGUGUACAAUAGAUCAGAGUGCACAUUUGCAGUUGUUUGUGUCACAUCAGAAACACUUAACGUUCUUAGUCUAAAGUUAACAAAAGGGAUAAACUUAAAUACAUUUUAAAAAAUAUUAGGACAAAAUUGAAUUUUUUAAUAACCACGAUAGUCAAUUGAAUAUUGGUCUUAAAUGUAGGGACCAAAAGGGUAAUUAUACCUUUAUUUAGUUAUCUUGAUUUUUAUAAGUGAACUGGUAUAUCGAAAGGUCGAGAGUUAACCGAGAAGUCGAAAGGUCGAGAGAUAAUUAGUGAAAGGUUUAUGGGGAAAAACAACUACAUGUGUUAUCUUAAGUAAAGAACACAUAAAUACAAUAAAGAAAUUAAUCAACUAUUAAGAAAAUAAUUACAAGAUAAAAGACUAAUUAAGAAAAGAUAAACAAAAGGAUUUAAUCGGAAGUCAUUGGCCCAAUAGGCCCAUUAGUGAGUAGUAUAAAUAGAUAGCACAUUUAAUUCAGUAGUGAGAUUUUGAAUGAAUGAUUAAUGAACAAACACUGACUUAAGCUUGGGAGAAUUCCUGCAAGUACCACACCUCAUACUCAAGUUGUAGAAGGAGUUGGAGAUGUUGAAGAAGAAAAGUACUAGUGAGAUAGAGGCACUCAAGGCCGAAAAUAUUUAUAUCAAGCAAAAGCUUAAAAAAGAAGAUACCAUCCCUUUUAAUCCAACACGGGAGUAUGUUGGAUCGAGUACAUAACCAAAUCCGACUACAAUCAAUAACUUUGAUGCAUCACAUAGAAGGCAGAACACUAUGUCUCAUGAUGUCUGUGGGACCUCGAUAAGAAAACACCCCUUUUCUAAAGGAAUCAUGGAAGUAUUGUUGACCGAUAACUGGAAGAGUCUGACACUAGGGAAGUAUGUGUUAGAAUAUAUGGCUUUAAACUAGAGGGGGGGGGGUGAAUUGUUUAAAGAGGGUUUUCGCAAAAUUUUAAACCUUGAAUGAAAUUACUUUGAGAAUACCUUGAUUGAGAAAUCAGUUUUUCAAAACACAAAGCUAAAAGCACAGCACCAGUAAAACAAUCGGUUGUUUCACAGAAACAAUCGGUUGUUUAUACCAGUAAACAAAUAUCAAAACUGAAUUUAAAAAGUUAGGGAUAGAGAGAAUGCACACAGAUUUUUAUACUGGUUCACUCUAAACCCAGAGCUACAUCCAGUUUUCUCCGAAACCACUGAGGAAUUCCACUAAGCAAUCAAACCUAGAUCACUUACACCACAACCAAGAAAGUGACCUUGAUCCCCUCAAGACACACACUUCUCUUGGCCAACACACCAACACUAAGAAUGCUGAUUUUGAUCCCCUCAAGAACACACAACACUUCUCAGCAAAACACAUAAAUAAAGUUGUUCAACAGAAUACAAGGAUUACACUUGUUACAAAUGUUGGGUUUAAUAGUGCCAAAGUUCAAGAGGGGGGGUGAAUUGACCUUUUAAAACUUCCUCGCAGAAACAAUGUUUAACCCAGUUUUACAGAAAAUAAAUCGAUUUAUGUGAAAAUGAACAAAUUUAUUUCAGCACUGUUUUUCUGUUUGAAACACUUUUAAUACAGCAGGGUUAAUCACAAGAUUAUGCAGUGAGAGUUUCCAGAUGCACACACACAGAUAUCAGAUUUGAAAAACAGUGAAACACAAAACAGCAAGCUUUAAUUUCAAGCAAGUGAUUAAGAUUCAAUUGAUAGCAUGCUAGUUAAUUGAGUGACCUUUGCAAACAACCUGUUCCAAUGGCUUUUAACAGACUAUGAGUGUUCUUCUUGAUGUUAAGCAAUUUUCCAGAAAUUAAGAACAAUGAAUUACAGAACAGCAAACUUCAACUUUAAGCAAUUGUUUAAGGUUCAAUUAAUAGCAUUAACAGUUUCUUGAGCAGCCUAUCACAGUCAAUCUGUUCCAAUUGCUUUUAGCAGAUUUUAUACGUUCUUAUCAGAUUAAACCAACUUUUUCAGAAAUCAAGAACAGUAUGCACAGUGCCCAGAAAGAACAGAUUUAUUUUCAAUUGAACAAAUUUAUUUCUUUGUUGUUUUAUCAAUUAUGCAGAAACGAAAUUGCAGAGAGUGAGAGAGAAUGAACACAAGCAAUUAUACUAGUUCACUCAACCUGAGCUACAUCCAGUCUUCACCAACAACAGGUGGAAAUCACUAACACACAUAGUACAACCAAGUACAAUUCCCACUGUUCUUGAAACCUACAAGAACUUAGGUACUCUUGCUGAAAAAAACCUAUUUCAGCAUACACACACUCACUCUUCAAGAACACCUAUCAAGAAGAGUGUUCAACCAAACUAUACAAGAUAGAGAUGUGAAACGACUACACCUGAUUGAGGAUACACAGAUCUGCCUUAAACCAGUAGGCAAGAUUGCUAGAACAGUAGCUGCACCUCACACCAAGCUUUUGGAACCAAACCAAGAACAAGCACUUUGUGAUUUUUGAAAUCUUUGAAGAACAAAUGCUAAUCCUUUGAAAACACUUAACUCUCUGCUGUCAAAACUUGUUUUUUUUGCAAAUGUAUGAACUGUUUGAAUCGUUAUUAAACCCAGAAACAAGUUUUCUUUUUAUAAAAAGCCAGCUUAUAACAGAAUUUUGAAAAACAGUUAAAGCUGUUAUAAAAUGAACAGAUUGAAAAUAAAAUGAACUNNNNNNNNNNNNNNNNNNNNNNNNNNNNNNNNNNNNNNNNNNNNNNNNNNNNNNNNNNNNNNNNNNNNNNNNNNNNNNNNNNNNNNNNNNNNNNNNNNNNGAAAAACGUUUAAGCUUGGCAUGGCACCAGAGAUAAAAAAAAUCUAUUCAUUUACAGAUGAACAGAUUUAUUUUUCAAAAUGAAAACAGAGAAAGUUUAACAAUUUAAAACUCAGUCGUUUUGAAAAGAAGAAGACUUAGUCAAAAUACCUGAUGCACAAAAUCUAAUUUUUACAAGACUUAGCCAAGGCAUCAGUGAAAAAAAAAUGAAUCUGUUUAUUUAGAAAUGAACAGAUUUAUUUUUAUGCAGUAAACGUGUUUUUGUGUAAAACAUGUGAAAAACAGUUUAAGAAAACUUAUGCUUGUUCUUAUCAUAUGGCCAGUGGUUAUGAGGUGAGUUACUCAGCAAAAAGCUACUCUUAGACAACCUCUAAGCACUAACUAAGACAUACUUAAAGCAAGGCAAAAAUACACAUAAAAUGUACAUAUAAGACUUCAUCAAACACUACAUAUAGGUCUUCAUCAAACACAAUCUUGAAGGGGCAGCAACCAUCUUCAACAACAAAAGCAAAUCUGAAAUCAAUACAAGCAGAAAUCCUAUCUCACACUCUUUGAUCAAUCUCAAUCUCUAAGCAAUCUCAACUCUUUGAAAAACUCAAAAACUUGUGUUAAAAUCUUAUUACUCAAAUAUGUUUUUCUGAGUAUAUUCAAAGAUAUUGUUUGUUAUCAAAUCUUAACAAACUUAUUCAUUGUAUUUAAAAGAUUGGUCAACGCAUUAAAGACUGGAGCAUAAUCAGUUAAAACAUUUAAAGCUCAGUCAAAGCUAAAACAGUUUUUCUGUUCUGGUACCAAAACAAACAAUCGGUUGUUUCCACGAAUCAAUCGGUUGUUUUAGUUUUAACAGCUCAACCAUUUGAAAAACAGUUUUCAACCUUUUCUAAAAACACCUAAGUAUAAAACAAUCGGUUGUUUCGACAAAACAAUCGGUUGUUUCGACAAAACAAUCGGUUGUUUCGACAAAACAAUCGGUUGUUUCGACAAAACAAUCGGUUGUUUCGACAAAACAAUCGGUUGUUUCGACAAAACAAUCGGUUGUUUCGACAAAACAAUCGGUUGUUUCGACAAAACAAUCGGUUGUUUUUCACUUAUUUUGAAAAACACUUUUCUUUUAAAAAGAUUGAGAAUGUCUAUGCUUUGGAUUCAAUCAAGAGUGGAUUACAUAACCAAUCUACCCCAGAUCCUAUCUAGGACAACUCAGCAACAACAAGCACAGCCUAGCCUUUAACAUCCUUCAAAGGGUUUGGAUUCUUCAAAGCUUGGACACUACUUGGUUCAACAAUCUCCCCCUAUUUGAUGAAGACAAAUCUCUGGUGCUUGUGUUUGAUCUGAUUGAAUCUGAAGCAGUACCUGCAAAACUAGCAUAUAUACAGUCUAAUGCUUCUUACAACAACAGGUUAGAUUUUACCACAAUUAAAGUAUAAAACCUGAAAAACAAUAGGUUGUUUACUCAAAACAAUCGGUUGUUUCUAUCAGCAGUAGCAGAAAACAGUUUUAUAUCAAAGAUUUUAACAGGUUACACGGUUUCAGAUAAAGAUAUACAAGAACCAAUUAAUUAUCCCCCUAUUUGUCUUCACAAAUAGACUUUAGCAUGUAUCAAAACAGAUUUAGGAGAGAUUAUUAAGAUCAAGGAUACCUAACUCAUUUCUUAGGAAGAAAAACCUCUCUUUUGGUAAAGGUUUCGUGAAGAUGUCAGCUAACUGCAAUUUGGUCUCCACAAACUUCACUUCACAGUUCCCAUUGUUUACAUGAUCCCUGAUGAAAUGAUGCCUUAUCUCAAUAUGUUUGGUCCUUGAGUGCUGAAUCUGAUUUUUAGUAAGAUUGAUGGCCCUUGUGUUAUCACACAUCAAAGGGACCUUGCUGAUUUGUAAUCCAAAGUCUGCAAGUUGUUGUUUGAGCCACAAAAUCUGUGCACAACAGCUUCCAACAGCAAUAUACUCAGCCUCAGCAGUAGAGAGAGCAACGCAUGCUUGCUUCUUGUUAUGCCAUGAGAUUAGGCUUGAGCCAAGAAGGUGGCAAGUGCCACUUGUGCUCUUUUUAUCUAGCUUGCAACCUGCAAAGUCAGAAUCUGAAUAACCAAUUAAAUGAAUUGGAGAGUGAGAAGGAUACCAUAACCCAACAGAUAAUGUUCCUUUGAGAUAUUUCAGAAUUCUUUUUGCAGCUUAAAAGUGUGACUCUUUAGGAUUUGCUUGAUAUCUUGCACAUAGACAUACCGCAAACAUGAUGUCCAACCUACUAGCUGUUAGAUAAAGCAAAGAGCCAAUCAAUCCUCUGUAUUUUGUUUGAUCUACAUUCUUUCCAACAACAUCAGCAUCCAUGUAACAACUUGAUGGCAUUGGAGUGUUUGCUUCUUCGCAACUCUCCAUAACAAAUUUCUUGAGAAUCUCCUUGCAAUACUUUGAUUGACAUAUAAAGAUCCCAUCCUUUUUUUUGCUUAACCUGCAAUCCAAGAAGGAAAGACAGUUCUCUCAUCAUAGACAUUUCAAACUCACCUUUCAUUGCAGCCACAAAUUCUUCACACAAACUAUCUUGUGUAGCACCAAAGAUGAUGUCAUCAACAUAGAUUUGCACAAGAAUUAUUUCUGCAUUUGACUUUUUGAUGAAGAGAGUCUUGUCUACCAUUCCCCUUUCAUAACCAUGAGAUAGCAAAAAGUUGCUAAGCCUCUCAUACCACUGUCUUGGAGCUAUCUUCAGUCCAUACAAAGCUUUCUUCAACAGAUGAUGUUCCUUUGAGAUAUUUCAGAAUUCUUUUUGCAGCUUUGAAGUGUGACUCUUUAGGAUUUGCUUGAUAUCUUGCACAUAGACAUACCGCAAACAUGAUGUCCGACCUACUAGCUGUUAGAUAAAGCAAAGAGCCAAUCAAUCCUCUGUAUUUUGUUUGAUCUACAUUCUUUCCAGCAGCAUCAACAUCCAUGUAACAGCUUGAUGGCAUUGGAGUGUUUGCUUCUUCGCAACUCUCCAUUUCAAAUUUCUUGAGAAUCUCCUUGCAAUACUUUGAUUGACAUAGAAAGAUCCCAUCCUUUUUUUGCUUAACUUGCAAUCCAAGAAGGAAAGACAGUUCUCCCAUCAUAGACAUUUCUAACUCACCUUUCAUUACAGCCACAAAUUCUUCACACAAACUAUCUUGUGUAGCACCAAAGAUGAUGUCAUCAACAUAGAUUUGCACAAGAAUUAUUUCUGCAUUUGACUUUUUGAUGAAGAGAGUCUUGUCUACCAUUCCCCUUUCAUAACCAUGAGAUAGCAGAAAGUUGCUAAGCCUCAUACCACUGUCUUGGAGCUAUCUUCAGUCCAUACAAAGCUUUCUUCAACAGAUGAUGUUCCUUUGAGAUAUUUCAGAAUUCUUUUUGCAGCUUUGAAGUGUGACUCUUUAGGAUUUGCUUGAUAUCUUGCACAUAGACAUACCGCAAACAUGAUGUCCGACCUACUAGUUGUUAGAUAAAGCAAAGAGCCAAUCAAUCCUCUGUAUUUUGUUUGAUCUACAUUCUUUCCAGCAACAUCAACAUCCAUGUAACAGCUUGAUGGCAUUGGAGUGUUUGCUUCUUCGCAACUCUCCAUUUCAAAUUUCUUGAGAAUCUCCUUACAAUACUUUGAUUGACAUAGAAAGAUCCCAUCCUUUUUUUGCUUAACUUGCAAUCCAAGAAGGAAAGACAGUUCUCCCAUCAUAGACAUUUCUAACUCACCUUUCAUUACAGCCACAAAUUCUUCACACAAACUAUCUUGUGUAGCACCAAAGAUGAUGUCAUCAACAUAGAUUUGCACAAGAAUUAUUUCUGCAUUUGACUUUUUGAUGAAGAGAGUCUUGUCUACCAUUCCCCUUUCAUAACCAUGAGAUAGCAGAAAGUUGCUAAGCCUCUCAUACCUGUCUUGGAGCUUGCUUCAGUCCAUAUAAAGGUUUCUUCAACUUGAAGACAUGGUUGGGAUAUUUAUGAUCUUCAAAGCCCAGUGGUUGAUCUACAUAAACUUCCUCAUUGAUGUAGCCAUUCAAGAAGGCACUCUUGACAUCCAUUUGGAAGAGUUUGAAACCAUUCUUACAAGCAAAUGCCAGUUGCAGCCUUACAACCUCCAAUCUAGCAACAGGAACAAAGGUUUCACCAUAAUCUAUGCCCUCCUCUUGAUUGUAGCCUUUGGCAACUAGCAUUGCUUUGUUCCUUGUGAUCACACCAUCUUCAUCUAAAUUGUUCCUGAAAACCCAUUUUGAACCAAUAAUGUUCAUUUCAUCAGUUCUAGGGACAAGAAACCAUACCUCAUUCCUUGCAAACUGAUUCAACUCCUCAUGCAUAGCUUCAACCCAUUUCUCAUCCUUAAGAGCUUCAUCAAUUGACUUUGGCUCAAUUUGAGAGACGAAAGUUGUGUGCCUACAGAAGUUUGAGAUGGAGCUACGUGUGGAAACACCUUCCUUUAUUUGCCCUAUGAUGUUUUCCACUGACAGAUCUCUAGGAAUCCUCCACUCUUUGGGCAGCUCACUCUGUUGCAGAAUUUCAAUCGGUUGUUUCUGCGAAUCAACCGAUUGUUUUUCUUCACAGAUUUCCAACUUCUCCAAACUGAUGCUCUGUUCAUCUUCUUCAGCACUGGUCUUCGGGAUUUGGAUGUUUCUAUGAUCUACCUCAUCAAAGACAACGUGAAAUGAUUCUUCUACAGUCAUCAACCUCUUGUUGUAGAUUCUGUAUGCAUGACUUGUGAGAGAAUACCCUAUGAAGAUGCCAAGAUCCGCUUUCUCAUCAAACAUCCCUAGAUUUUCCUUUCCAUUGUUGAGAACGAAACAACUGCAGCCAAAAACUCUAAGAUGACUGAACUUCCUUCCAUUGAAGAGUUCAUAUGGAGUCUUCUUCAGAAUAGGUCUUAUAAGCACUCUAUUCAUCACAUAACAGGAUGAGAAAACCAUCUUUAAACCAUUCACCCCCCUCUAGUUUAAAGCCAUACAUUCUAACAAAACUGACUUGGAUGAACAUGUUGCCAUAUAUAUCACUUAAGUUAGUUUGUACAGUUAUGACCACACCAUUUUGUGCAGAGUGUUCCUGACAACACUAAAAUGAGCUAUUUUAAGUUGGUUCACAAGAUUGCCACCACAUUCAAUCGAUUCUUUUGAUACUUUGAUGAUGAAGUUUGGAGCUCAUUUUGCCACCAUUAGAUCACACCAUUUAAACUUCUAUUGUAUUGGUUAAUAUUCUAUGGGAAAAGGAAGAACCGUUGAGAACUUUUAUGGAGAGGUUUGGAAGGGUAGCCUCGAGUAUACGUAACUUAAGUUCUGAGAUAAUUAUGCAUCAUAUGGUUACUUCAUUGAGACCGAGACCAUUUGUCGACAGUUUGUGUAAACAGCCUGUAACUAAUCUUGAUGAGUUAAGGCAAAGAGCAACAAAAUUUAUGCAACUAGAAGAGUUGAAAAGCUUUAAAAGUCAAAUAAGGAUGGAUGAAGGGGUUCAUAGGAAGGAUAAGGAGGAAGCAAGAUGGAAGAAGUCAAAGGAGGUAUACCAUGAUCCAAGAGUAAGAAGGUAUCCAAAUGAUGAAAGGAGGGCUAGAGAAAGGAGUUCGAGAAAGAGAGAAAGAAGAAGUCUAAUAAGGCCAAUAAAAGGGGUAAACAAUACUACAUCUUGAGGGUUUACUAGAGGAGGGGUUUCUUCGUCAGCAAGAAAUGAGCAUGUACGGUCGUCUAAAACAACUCACUCAAUCCAGAAAAGAAGUAUGCCGCCAAUAAUAUUUACUGAUGAAGACUUCCAAAAUAUUGAUCCUAAUCAAAACGAUCCAAUGGUGAUUAAAAUUAAUGUAUAAGAUUUCAUGGUGAUGAAGACGCUAGUUGAUUAAGGGAGCUCUGAUAUUCUGUAUUGGGAUACCUUUUUAAAAUUGAAGUUGUCGGGGGGGAUGAUAUUCAACCACAUUAUGAGCAAAUAAUUGGUUUUCCAUGAGAAAGGGUGAGGACGAAGGGAUAUAUUGAUUUGAAGACAAGAUUUGGAACAGGAAGUCUAACUCAAGUUAUUAAUGUUCGUAUCUGGUGGUAGAAGCUAAAACAUCUUACACUGUUCUGUUUGGGAAGGUCAUCCUUAAACAAACUUGGAGCUAUUGUGUCAACACCUCAUUUAACAAUAAAAUUCCCAACUGGCAAAAAGGAAGUUGCAACAAUUUAUGUGGAUCAACGCACAACCUAAGAAUGUUAUUUAGCAAGCCUGAAAAUUGAACCAACAUUGACGAGUAAAUAUGAGGGGAGCAUUGAUAAGGGAAAGAUGGUAGCCAUGACAAAUUUGAUCCUAGGUCUGACGAAGAAAGGAUGGAGCCAAAGGAGGAAAAAGUGGUAUGUAAGUUGGAUGAUGAAAAUCAUUUCACAUACAUGGGAAGUUCAUUUCCAAAAGAAGAGAUGUGAAUGCUGGUUAAAGUAUUACAGAAAAAUAAAGAUUUAUUUGCCUGGACUAUUGUUGAUAUGUAGAGAAUUAAUCUGGAUGUAAUCACCCAUAAGUUAAAUAUAUAUCGGUCAACAAAAUCGAUAACUUAGAAGAGGAUAAGAUUGGGGGAGGAGGAAAGGAUGGUGACGAUUGAAGAAACCAAAAAUUUGUUACAAACGGGUUUUAUUGAAAAAUAUUAAGUAUACAACAUGGUUGGAAAAUGUGAUGUUAGUUAAAAAAUCAAAUGAGAAAUGGAGAAUGCAGAAUACACGAAUUUGAAUAAGGCAUGCCCAAAUAAUUCUUAUCAUUUGCCAAAUAUAGAGGUUUGGUUGACGGAGCUUUAGGGAAAGUUGUGUUAAGUUUUCUUGAUGCAUAUUUAGGAUAUACCCAUAUACCAAUGAACAUGAUGAUAUACUGAAAAUUGCAUUUACCAUUAAAAUAUCUAAUCUUUACUAUCGGGUAACCUACUAGAGACUAAUGCUGGAGCAAUCUACCAGAGACUAAUGGAUAAGAUGUUCCAAAAACAUAUUGAAAGGAAUAUUAAGGUGUAUGUGGAUGAUGUAGUGGUUAUGACAGUGGAAACUCAUGUGAAUUAUCUGAAGGAAGUUUAUGCUAUCGAAUAGGUACUUUUCAUUUCAAUCAUCAUUUCUCCACAAUAAAUAUAUGGUAAGCCUUAUAAUCGAAUAAUUGUUUCUUUUUUAUUUAUUUGUUUAUUAUUUAAAAAAAAAAACAAAUUCUUUCAUCAUUUUGUUGCUUUAUAUGUGAUAGAAUGAUCAUACUUUUCACUCUAUUUGUUUCUUUUCAUUUCUCACACUUUCUUUCAUUUUUUUUUUAAUGAAUUUAGGCUAACAUUUAGUGGAAUCUUGAUAAGUUAUAUCAUUUUUCUUGUCAAUACCAACCAAUAAUAAGAAAAUAAUUAAAAUUCUUAAAUUUUUUACACAUUAUUACCUAUAAAUUAUUGGAUUCAAAGAUAAGUUAAUUUAUCUUUAUCGAGUCCAACCACAUCAGAACCAAUCUUGAUACCAGGUAGAAAGUUGAAACCAGAACAACUUUUAUUUAGAUUGUACAAAAUAUAGAGAUUACAACCACCUUAAAGUAUUGUUGAAAAAGAACAUAAUUAAGCUAGUUACAGAAACAAAUUUAGGAUAUAUAAUCCUUUUAUCUGCUACAUAACUACUUUAUAGAACCUAAUUACCAAAUUUAUUUUUUCAUAACUGAAACAACACUGCAUGCUACAAAACAACAACAACACUUGACUCACUUCCUUGGUUUUUGAACUUUUUUUCUUUUAAUGAAUACAAACAUUGAAUUUUGAAAUAACUUAGGCAAUGUUUUUUUUACCUUUAAGGAUUAUUCACAGUAGAAGCAUAGCUUGAAGAGCGUGAACCAUUUCUGAGUUUAGGAUCUUCAGAACGAACCAUGUAAUCAGCAGUGCUACGAUGCUGUUUUUCUCUUCCAUUUGAAGAAGAAGAACCCUUAUUUCCAUCUGAAUCUUUCUUUUCACCCAAAUAAUAGCUGGUGCUAUCAUCAUUCUUAGAACGCGAUGGGGAACUCAUUCUUCUUGAUUAUACAAUGUGCUAUAUUUCUUGUGUGUUUCAGACUAAUGAACACGAUGAUGGCCAUGUAUUUGUAUACGUAGAGAUGCAUGUACAAUGGAACUACCAAGUAAUUCAUCCACAAUUCC
RNAcentral lists this long non-coding RNA (12468 nucleotides) under Phaseolus vulgaris (common bean). RNAcentral's name for it is "long non-coding RNA (PVUL_LNC000504)". Lineage: Eukaryota; Viridiplantae; Streptophyta; Magnoliopsida; Fabales; Fabaceae. The record is from RNAcentral.